RNAcentral lists this long non-coding RNA (239 nucleotides) under Elaeis guineensis (African oil palm). RNAcentral describes it as "long non-coding RNA (EGUI_LNC024263)". Lineage: Eukaryota; Viridiplantae; Streptophyta; Magnoliopsida; Arecales; Arecaceae. The record is from RNAcentral.
AAUCAUUGCUUCUUUGAGGGCCUUGCUUGUGUAGUAAAUUGACUUUUGCACGUCAGCUUCUUCUCUAAUGAGGACCGAACUUAUCGUCUGUGAGGUGACCGACAAAUAUAUGUACAACUUCUCACCUUCUUCAGGCUUGGAAAGAAGAGAUGUCGAUCUCAAGUAUUUUUUGAAUUCAUCAAAUGUAGAUCAACAUCCUUCUGACCACUCAAAAUUCUUUACUUGUCCUAUCGUCUUGA